Long non-coding RNA from Passer domesticus (house sparrow), 9856 nucleotides. RefSeq lists it as uncharacterized. The record is from RefSeq and is a predicted model, not a curated record. Lineage: Eukaryota; Metazoa; Chordata; Aves; Passeriformes; Passeridae. The transcript is spliced from 6 exons.
ACAUAACAGGACCACUUUUUGCACUCAGAAGUACUAGUAUACUAUUAUUUAAAAAUCGAAUUUGGUGCUAACUGAAGGUAGGUCUGGUUUAGAAAAUUUUUACCUGGUUAAAGAAAACAAAAAGACCCUUAGAAAUUAACAUGGAAAUGAAAGAGCAGAAGUUCUAGAUGCACCUUACAAGCAGAGUGGGACAAGGCUGUAGCAUCAGUGUGCAGAAAGGAGGGAUGGUUGUGGAAACCAAGGGGCAUCUCUGACCUCUGAGGACAGAGCCAGCGCACCGUAAAGAGGUUAUCCCCAGCAAGCCUUUCAGUCUGUUCUCCAUUUCUGUGGUUCUGAUGUGUUAGUCAGGAACACGACCUUUAGAAGUUAAUCCCAACACUUUCCUCAUGGAGCAUUUAAGAGAGUUUGCUCAGACUGUCAUGCCGCUGUGCUAAGGCCUUGUAAGGAGUUUGUUUGAGCACCUGUUUCCUUAUGUAUGACGGGGCCAUUGUAGCUGCCUUAGUAAAGGUACAGUGGUGUCUGUCAUAUCCCCAGUGCAGAGGCAGCUAAUGCUGCCCAGAGUUGCUUAACCCAGUUUCCCAAAUGAGAAAUUAUGUGUACCAAAGUGACUUGAUGCCUUACAGCUAUCUCUAUUUGACUUUUUAAGGAACACAGGGAAUUCUGCUGAAGGUAGAGGUGAAUGCAAGUCUAAACUGUUUGAGCAAAACACUUGUUCUGCUGAAAUUACUGUAUUUGUUCCAGUGGCUUUUUCUGGUUACUGGCUAUUUUACCACUCAACUGAUAAACAAUACAGAAAAUAUUAAGAGGGUGCAUCUGAUUUUAGCAUCAUGACGGCUUUAUGAGAGAGUUAGAAGUCAUAUCACCAAGCACAUUGAUUCUUGAAAAAAAGACCAUAUUCAGAUUGUGUUAAUUUAUUCAAAAGACUGUGUCUUCAGCAGCAAGAUUUCUAAGCAUACUUGAAUUAUUUCUAGUAAUUUAUUUAGGGAAAACCAUUUGCCUGUUGGCUAUUUUUUUUUCUUAAUGCAUAUGUGCAAGUUCAAAAAUGCAGAUCAAAAUUAGUUUGGUCUUUCAAAGCUGCCUGCCGGUGACCAAAUGGCAAAAAUUAAGAAUUUCCAUGGAGUUCUUGCUGGGAGGUUUGCACAAAUCAUUUGAGUCCAGAUCCCAUUAGCCAAGUUAGGGCUUGCAAGUUAUUUAGCAAAUUGAGUUUGCUAUUGAUUUUCACAGUCCAUCAAGCAGAAAUAGACUUGCAAUAUGAAGGAAAAGGGUAUCUGUAUAUAAAAAGCACUGAGCACUGCAGUUAUCUGUUUUUGUUCAUAUUAAUGUCUAUUUUCAUAUUCUGUACACAAGAUAAUUUUACAUGUAAAGUGUGUUUUAGUUGAGCAUAUAGAAUUACUGCUGAAGUGUCUGGAGAAAAAGACCUGUCAAAAAGAGACUCAAUUCCAUGUCUUUCAUUCCUGCUCUAAUAUGAAUGCUUGUUUUGGUUUGGGUAUUUUUUAAUGUGGUUUGAAUCUUCAAAUUCUGUUCUCAGUUUCAAACAACUGCUCUGUUGACUCAAUUUGUAACUUGGCACAGCUGGUAAUCUGCAUUCUAGUCACAAGAAAACGCUACCUGCAACAGUGUAGAGCCUGCUUCUGAAGUUGCACAGGGAGAUCUUAGUGUAAAUCCCCUGUCCAGUAGGUUAACAUUCAGUCUCCUUCCCAAAGCUGAGUCAAUAAGGAUGGAAAUCCCAGGGGGAACAUUAUAUAUGUAUGUAUUGGAGAUAAAAAGUCCCAUGCACUCAUUUAGGGAGAAGAUAUGAAUGGUGAUCACCUUGUGUGCUGGGUCCCAGGGCUUUGAAUAAAGCUAGUUGUUAUAACAGCUUAAUUUAGUAGGUGAGCCAGCUACUGAAUUAAUGUUUUGUCAAUUAUAAAAAAGUUAUGGAGUUUGAGGAAGCAUUUUGAGGGAAGAUUUUGUUACAGAGACUACAGAAAUGUGUUUAACUCUUUGCUAAUUACUUUAAAAGCUAGUGGUUUAUCUCUAGUGAAAGAAGAAUGAGAAAACUCAUAAGAAUGAAAAGGUGAAGAUUUAGAGUUUUGUCUUACAUGGAUCCCUUACUAGAAUAAUUUAAGUUGGGAAAGACCUUUAAGAUCAUUGAACCUAACUGUAAAGCCAGCACUGCCAAGUCCACUACUAAAUCGUGUCCUUAAGUGCCACAUCUACAUGCCUUUUAAAUGCCUUCAGGAAUGGUGACUUAACAACUUCCCUGGGAGGCCUGUUCCAAAACUUGACAACAUUUUGAUGAAGAAAUUUCUAUUCAUAUCCAAUCUAAACCUCCCUUGGUGCAACUUGGGGACAUUUCCUCUUGUCCUAUCACUUGUUACUUGGAGAAAAGGCCGACAUCUGCCUGGCUACAACUUCCUUUCAGGUAUUUGUAGAGAGUGAUAAGGGCCUUGCUGAGCCUCUUGUUCUCCAGGCUGAACAAUCCCAGCUCUUUCAGCUGCUCCUCAUAAGACUUGUGCUCCAGACCCUUCACCAGCUCUCUUGCCCUUCUCUGGACAUGCUCCAGCACCCCAAUGCCUUUCUCUCUAGUGAGGGGCUCACUAGAGAAAACCCUGAACACAGGGUUUGAGGUGUGGCCUCACCACUGCUGAGUACAGGGGGACAAUCACUGCCUGGUCCUGCUGGCCACACUAUGCCCGUGACCUUCUUGGUCACCCAGGCAGAUGCUGGCUCAAGUUCAGCUGCUGUAGACCAGCUCCUCCAGUUCCUUUUCCAGUGGGCAUCUUUCUGGCCAUGCUUCCCCAAACCAGUAGCACUGCAUGGGGUUGUUGUGACCCAAGGGCAGGACCUGGCAAUUGGCCUUGUUGCCUUGUUAAACCUCAUAAAGUUCACUUUGGCCCAUUGAUUCAGCCUGUCCAGAGCUGCAGAGCCUUCCUGCCCUCCAGGUGAUCAACACUCCCACCCUACUCAGUGUCAUCUGCAAAGUGACUGAGGGUACACUCAAUCCCCUUGUCCAGAUUGUUGAUAAAGUUAUUAAACAGGACUGGAGCCACUACAGAGCCCCAAGGAACUGCUUGUGCUGUACGACAGCAGUGCCUUGCAAAGAAAUCCAAAAUGCUUGUUGUGUGCAGAUUCUAAUGCCUGAAUUGUUUUGGUUUCAGCAUGCAGAUUUUUGCUUUACUAGUAAUUUGCUUUACUGGUAAAUGUCUGACGAAAGAACUGUAGUCCUCAUAGCUGUAGAUUCCUAUUUCAUUGCUGAAGUCCUGAAGGUAUGGAAAAGGACUGUUUAUUGUUUUUUCUCCUCAAACAGCUAAGCCUGCUGGCAACAUGAUGUAUGAAAUAUUAUAGUUGUCCAAUCAAACCUGAGAAAUGUUUUCUGUCCAACCUAAAAGAAGCAUGUUGUAUAUAUGCCCUGAAGGACAAAACCAUCACUGCUUUCUUGGAUCCUUAACAUUUAAACAUAGAGCAACACAAGAUAAAAAAUGUAUUUGAGAAACACUGCAAAAAUGACUAUCUAGUACAUUUCUAUUUACCAGUUAAUUGGAAUAUUCCAGAAGCUAUUUAUAUUGUUUCGUAUAUUUAAACUGUUUUGAAUGAGCGUUAGACACUUGUUUAGUAAAAAACUGUAGAGAACAUUCCAUGUGAGAGGGAACAAUUAGCACCUGCUUCUGCUGGCUUUAUGUACCACAAUUGUAUGUAGUGCUUGUUUAAAAAUGCUGAUAAGCUAGGACUAGAAGCCUUUGCUUAAAAGUCAGAUGAGCAGUAAAAGGGAAUAGUAAAAGUGCAGUUUCAUGCUUAGAAAAAUCUAAUGAUUUUCAGCUGUUCUGCCUCUAAAGGGAACUCUUUCACCUGUCUGAGCUCCCUGUGUUGAUCCAGCUGUGUGACUGUGCCAUCAGUUAGUUCACCUGUGGUUCAGCCAAAAAUCAGUUUUACAGGAAAGUUAGUUUUCAGUGGGAUCAGUGAAUUGAUCUGGCUUACUGGCAUAUUCAGUAAAUCUCACACAAGAAAGGGAGUGGGGAAUGUGGGUGAUGAGGAGGACUGCUUCUUGUGGUGACACUGUCUUCUUAAAUCAUCUUGAUGAGCUUUGAAACAUCACGGUGAUGAUUAGACUGUGAUCACUUUUAGCUAGAAUAAGACAGAUCUACUACUACAAGAUGCAAGCCUUCGUGCUCCUACCUAAAUGUUUCCUGCUUUCUUUGUCAGUGCAUCCUCACAGAUGUUUGUGUUAGCUCAGGGGAAUGGACAACAGAAGAACAGGAACACAAAAAUAGGAGUACCUUUUCUUCUACCCUACCUAUAGGAGUUUUCAACUUGUUCUUCUGCAUGUUGCUCCUGCUAACAGAUGAAUAAUUCAGUACCCAGCUUCCAUGGUAGCUCAGAGUACUGUUCCCUAAUACUGUGAAUGAAGGAAUCUAAGUAUCCAUCUUACAGACAGAAGGAAAUGCAUUUAAAAAGAAAGGGUCAUACAGGGUUUUUAAAAAGUUUCUUCAAUAGUUUUUCUAACUUAAGGGCUUGAUUAUGUAUGUACCAGCCCUAACUGUUUGAAAAGGUGAUUUUUUGGGACUCUGUUUAAGAGGGCACUUUUUGGAGAACAUAGUAAUGAAUAGCACAUACUCACCCUGAACUAUGAAGCUACUAUACAGUAAUUGUUGUAUGUGAAACUAUGCAAAUACAAAGGUAAAUUCAAGCCAGUAUAGUGACUCCUUCAUGAUGGCAAAUAUUUCUGUCUCUAAAUGGCAAGAAUGUAAAGCUCUGGCAAUUAAGAGGUUCAGCAGACCUGUUAAAUUUCCUGAGAGCCUUUGCACUGUAAAAGAAGACAUUUGGAGAAUGUAUGGCAAAUCUAGCAAUAAGAUCCCCUGAUUCAUUGCUUCUCCCAGCCAACUCCAGAAGAUAAAAUUGCUAAGGAACUAUUAUUGGAUUCUAAAGAGAAACUGUUGAAGAGGAGGAGGCCACAACAUGAUUGCCCUUUUUCCUGGGAGAUGCUGUCACUACCAUUAUGGAUUUCCUGGAUUGCUCUGUGGGUGAGCCUGGUUAAUUAGUUACCACCUCAAACACCUGUAAUAGGAAGGACUAGGAUAGUAUAUAGCUUGUCCCACAUUCUUAAUCUUCAGGGUCAGUUGAAAAAUUUGGAAUAAUCUGACAAAUGAGAAAAGUAACAAAUUUACUGAAAAUGACAACUGUUCCACAUUUAUAUCCUAGCUUCAGUCUUCUGAAGGUCUUUGUGACUGAUGUGACAUGAUCAGUGUAAAGCAUGCUGAGUUUUCCUACAGAUCAGUAAUUAAAUAGCCUAGAUACAGGGUGCAUGAAGCAUUAGUCUGAAUCUAAUUUUUAUAUGGUGGAUGCCUCUUUUCCCCUUGAUCUGAGGUGAAUUUUCACUGUAGCACUUUAGAACUUGAGUGUUUUCAAAGGUUUAUGCAGAUGUCUUUCAUUGAGCUAUUAAUAAAGAGAAGUUGAAAAUGGAAGUUGAAAAGAACAGUUGAAAAUGAAAAUCAACUGAGAAAAGUUGAAUGGAAUUCAGCUGGAGAAAAAAAUCCCUUAAGUCUCUGGGCAAGUUUCAAGUCAAAUGUCACAGCUGAUAUGCAAUCUGGAUCAUGAAAAACUGAAGUGGCUGCUUCACAACAGGUGAAAGUUGAGGCCUGCCACCCCAGAGAAUGAAUACAGAAAAACAGAAGGUGAAUGGCAGCAUGGCAAAAGAAAAACAAGACAGCGAUUCCAUCAGUUUCAAACAGCCCUGUUUCUGAUGGGCUGGGUGCCAGCGGAUCUGCAGCCAGGCACAGCAGCAAAGGAGCCCUUCCCUGCUGCUGUGCAGAGGAGCGUGAAAUGAAUGGGGACCUUCCUUUCUCCAUAAAAACUCUGACACAGACUAAUGUUUUUUUGAAAAGUGCAGUUCUGACAGCUGUGAAAACGUGAUGUUCCUACUCUCAGCUCCAGAGGAGAGUGUCGUAGGAGAGCUUCCCAACAUUCAUUAGCCAGUCUGCAUCAAAACUGCUGUCUGAGGAAUAUCCUGGUCUUCAGACCUGUUUGCAGCGAGGUCUGUGCUGAGGCCUCUGCUGAAGGUUGCACUUAUUAUCUGUAGUGCUGGGAAGUGUGUAUUUGACAGGCAGUGGGCUUCAUCCAUUGGCUCUCUUAACAGCCUUCAGCAUGACAGCAACUUCAUAUUAUUUCUACCUCAGCUUCUCUCAAGAAACUUAAUUUCUCAAAAAAGAAACUUCUAUAAAAUAAAUACAAAAUCUUCAAAAGAAAAUAUUUAAUGUGGGUAAGAAAAGGUCUUAAGUUACUAUUUUAAAAAUGUAUUCCUGCAAAUGGAUAAUGCAUAGAAAAAUUGUUCAUGGGCUGCACCAGUUUCAAAAUUCUAGUGGCAGUUAGUACAGGCCUGUAGGCUCUCCAGUGUUCUCCUUAACACUUCCAGACUUUCCAGGCACAAUCUCAACACCCCUUUGUUCACUCUUGGCAAUGCUAUCGGACUUUCUUUAUUACACACAAGAUAACAAGAGCUAUCUGGGAUGCAAUCUACAUUUGGUGUAGGGGGCAUAACACCCUCUGACAGCCUCUGCCCUAAUGUUCGUAAUAGCAAAACUGGACCUCUGAGCUCUGUAGGGUGCAGCACACAAAGUGUUCCAUGAGGGGAGCUUGUUGGUGUCAAUGGUAGUGAUAGGUAACCCACAGAGACAGCAGAAGUGAGAACUUCUUGUGUUGCAGCAGUGAGAUAGUGUGAAAGGGCUUUUAGGGAACUGGCCAGAUGAGCUGAAGCAAUGUGUGCUUCCAGCAGGCAGAGGAGAGAUGCUGAACACAUGCUACCUGCCAUCAGAAGCCCUGUGGCUGCCAAGAAUUGCAGCUACACCAUUACAUAAACCAUCACACAGUACACAUUGUGCAGCCAGACAAAGUGUUUGUGUGUGAAUGGCUCUGCGUAGGUGUGUGGGGAAGUUCACACAUGUUAACAGGUUCAUGUUUUAAAUUUAGUACCAAAAGUUAGGCUCUUUUAUAGCCUGAAGUCAUCACCAGCAGACAGUAUUCACUUAUUUUUUGAAAUGGAGAGAGAAAAAUGGAGGUGCAUGUAGCAUGAUAGAGCAAAUCUGUCCUGUUAGAGAAGGCUCAGGUGCAGAUUCUGUGCUAUGAAGGCCAAAGAGCAGCUCUGAUUCCCCUACAACACCAGUAGGCAUGUCACUAUUUUAACCCUUAGAAAACUGGCUGGCUCACAACAAAAUAACAAUAGAUCUUCCCAAACCACCUUUGUGAAUGUGAUAAUUUAAUUCAAACAGCCUAAAGCAAUUAGUCUGUGUAAAGAACUUAAAAUAGACAAAGCUACUUUUCUUUUUUUUUAAAGUAGCUAUUUCUAGCUCAUUAGACACAGAAAAAUCCUUUAUACUCAGCUUUUUGACUGCACUCCAUCAAUUCAGCCCAAUCAACAGAUUUUCUCAAUCUAGAAACAAAGCAAAAUGAAACAAGGGGAAUUAAAUAGUGAGAAGGUCAGUCAUCUCUGCUCAGCUUUCAAGGCUGCUAUAAAUGUUUUUUUCAGUUAUGACAUGCUGAAAACAUUAAGCCUCCUGAAAACUAUGGCCAUGAUUUUAACAGCUGCAUUAUUUUCAAGAAAAUUGAAAAUCCGGUUUUAAAAUACAGCUUUAUCUGGCUCUUUUGUAUGUAUUUUCAGGACUAACUUGCUAUUCUGCUCAGAAUUGUAAAAAAAAAAAAGUUUAAUUAAUUGGUUAAAAAAAGAGACACUCCUCCCAAUAUUGAUCCAUCCUGAUAUGCAGAGGAAUGGCCUGGCACAUUAUAGUCAGCAAAAACGACUAAAACACCUGCUCCCAGUCAAACCACAAUAUUUAUUUCAGAAGCUGCUAUCUAUUAUUUUAUAUCAAGUAUAUGCUCCUACAGGCCUGGGGGUAGUUUAAAAUAUUUCAUUAUUAUGGCUAUUCUGCCACAUGUCCUUUUCAAAAGGGCCAAGCAGUGUUAAAGUGGCUGCACUUUUAGAGCAGGCAGGACUGAUGGAAUAUAUUAACUCAUAUUUUUAUGGCAAUGGAUGGAUUUUCCUUGUCACAGGCAAACUAUGCUUUCUGCAUGGCUGGGGAUAGUGGCAGAUUUUUUUAAUUAACAUUUGAAUCUAUUAUUUAUGAGUGCAUUCCCUGAUGUCUGAAUCCAAGGGCAAGCCCUGCUGUGCUUGACGUGGUCUCUCACAAGAGGGCUUGAAAGGACCUCCACCUUACAAGUGGAGAGACCUGAGACUUGCUGCAUGACUGACUGCUCCUGCCUGUCAGGCAAGGACAAGCUUUCAGGGACUAAAGAUUUCCCAGUUCUCAAUGUCCUUGCCCCAAACAUCGUUUUCUAAGGAGAAUCAUGUUAGCUCACUGCUAGUUCCCAAGCUUGCAGAUGUUAACAGAAGACCUUGUUGUUAAGGCAGGCCCUUUUGACACCAGGAGCAGCCUAAGGCUGUGAGUUUCUGACAAGCUGCUCAGCCAGUGCAUCAUGCUUGGGGUGACAGGCACGUUCAGCCAAGAAAAGUGAAAACCACUGUGGAGUUGUUCCACUUCCUCCAAGAUAGACCCACCAAGAGUGUCAGUACUCCUGACCUGGUGGUGCUGACAGGGCUGGAGAAUAUAUCAAUGCAGUCACUCAGAAGGCAGCUCUUUUUUAUUCUGAAUAAUUAUGUGAGUCAGGCAUACAUUAAGCACGUGGCAAAUAAUCUAUAUUUUCUGUGGACAGAAGAUUUUUAAAUUUCCAACAAAUUUACAAAUGUUUUUAAGGGAGUAUACCUAAUGCCACAAGGUUUCUAUUUAAAAAGUCUUUCUGUAAUGUAUUUAAAUGUCUGUUCUCAUUGUGUUUUCUACAGCAGAGCAAUAGUUGUAUCUCUGUGCAUCUGAGAUACUGUUCUGGUGUUUUACCAUCACUAAAGAACUGCUUGAAGAUGGUAAUACAUGGCUUUUAGGCACAGAAUUCAAAAACAGGAAUGUAUAUGUGAGACUGAAUGUGACUGCUACAAAAAAGUGAACCAUGGAAAUGAUGUAGUUUUAUGCAGCCAAAGGAAAGAUCAAAGUGCCUACAAAAGUACUUAUUACCCUAUCCAUGCUACCAAGUAUCUUAUUCUUUAAUUGCCAUUAAAAUGAAUGUAAAUACAAAAAGUGAAGGGAUUUUUUAAGCAUAAAUAAACUGGAGCAGUUGAAUAUUAACUUGUUUUUCAUAGGAAAUACAGAACUUCUGUAUGGAAUGGAUAUUUUUUACAGUCCUUGAGGAGGCAGCUCAAUCUGCACAAUGCUGUUUCCUAUAGACAAGCACACUGGCUCUGCAUAUAAAUGCAUGCUGGCAUUCAAGGUCAUUUGGACUCUUCCAAUUCAGAUUUCAGAAAAGGUAUUGCAGUUCUUAGAAAGGAAUUGCAGUUUUCCAUAGGCUUUAUAUGUUACGAGUGACUGAAUACACUGAUCUUUCUGAAGCAACAUCUGGAAAAUAUACAAGGAGCUUCAGCCAUCAGCAGUGGUCUUUAAUCAAGGUUUGCAACAAAGCUCAAUAAUUUUUUGAUCUCGAAAGGCAUUUUUAAAAUCAAUGUAUGAAUGAUAAUUUAACAUAAUAAAUCAUUUGUGAUGCUUGUUUUCGGGAAGGGUGACUUGAAGAGGCAUGGACCUGUUUCCUUCCUAUUAAAUAAUCUCAGAGGUUUGUUUAUAAAAAUUAAAAGCAUUUAAAAAAAGAACAAAGUUACAGAAGUGGUGGUAAUUAUUCUAUCAAUAAUCAGUAGAAGUGUAACUUCUGGAUUUCCUAUAAUCACUCUAUAUGUGAUUUUGACUGCUGGGUUACUAAACAGUGUUUUGUUGUUCAUGUGCUUUUUAUUGUGUUGAAUGAUAAGCUGUACCUAUGAUCAUAAAAUAAAUUUACUUUUCUCAAAACCAGC